UACGGAGGGGGCUAGCGUUGUUCGGAAUUAUUGGGCGUAAAGCGCGCGCAGGCGGUUCUUUAAGUCUGAUGUGAAAGCCCACGGCUCAACCGUGGAGGGUCAUUGGAAACUGGAGAACUUGAGUACAGAAGAGGAAAGCGGAAUUCCACGUGUAGCGGUGAAAUGCGUAGAGAUGUGGAGGAACACCAGUGGCGAAGGCGGCUUUCUGGUCUGUAACUGACGCUGAGGCGCGAAAGCGUGGGGAGCAAACAGG
RNAcentral lists this ribosomal RNA (253 nucleotides) under uncultured bacterium. Its description in RNAcentral is "partial 16S ribosomal RNA". It matches the Rfam family "Bacterial small subunit ribosomal RNA", at positions 524 to 776 of the family's 1533-position model. The record is from RNAcentral.